UACGUAGGCAGCAAGCGUUGUUCGGAAUUACUGGGCGUAAAGAGUACGUAGGUGGUUUGCCAAGUCCGAUGUGAAAUCUCCUGGCUUAACUGGGAGGGUGCGUUAGAAACUGGCAGGCUUGAAUGUGGGAGAGGAGAGCGGAAUUCCUGGUGUAGCGGUGAAAUGCGUAGAUAUCUGGAGGAACACCGGUGGCGAAGGCGGCAUCCUGGACCGACACUGACACUGAGGAGCGAAAGCCAGGGGAGCAAACGGG
Molecule: ribosomal RNA, 253 nt
Filed under: uncultured bacterium
Lineage: Bacteria
Description: partial 16S ribosomal RNA
Rfam family: Bacterial small subunit ribosomal RNA
Source: RNAcentral